CUCAGUAUGCAACCGUUUUGUUGUUAUGUGAAUAAAUGGAAUUGAAGCAUAAGUUAAAUAUUGAAUUAAAGUUAUUUUUGCAAUAAGUGUGUACAAACGAACUAAUGACGCGAACAGACAGCACGAACUUUAUAUAGUCGAAAACUAUAAGUUUAACCGGUUAUAUCUAUAUAUCCGCCUCUAUCCUCCCAUAUCCAUUUCAACCCCGAAAUCCUGGGACGGUAUUCUAAAGCCGACCCAAAAUAAAUAUCAAGAAAAAAUUUACACAGUUUUAUGGACAAAUAGUGAAAGAAAAAAUACAGAGUUUUUGAAUGGCAAAGUCUGAAGACUUGAAAGUCAUGACUUCAAAUUAACCGCAAUAGAUUCGAAAUAUAUUGGAGAAAAUAAAGAAAUUUAUCCAUUUUUCUGAUAAAUAGAAGCAACCAUCUAAAAGUGAUACUAAUUAUGACAAAUUAUUCAAAAUUCGUCCACUAUUAUCGUUGAUUAAAGAAGAAUUUAACAAUCUAUCUCAAGAGAAACACCAAAGCAGUAAAGAUCAUCCUUCAAACAGUACAACCCUGCUAAGCCGCACAAAUGGGGACUGAAAAUGUUCACGCGGGACGUCGGGAAUUAUUUAUGACUUUGCGCUCUACUUUGGUGAUGGAACUUGCCCUUCAUAUGGACCCAGCAUAUCAUCGGACCUUGUAUUAUAAAUAGUAUCCGCAGUACAAAAAUUUCAAAAUCACAAACUGCAUUUUGCUAAUUGGUUCACAUCUGUAAGCCUUCUUGUGGCUCUAAAAGAAAUGGCAAUAUUUUGCAUCGGCAUGGUCGAAAAAAAUCGAAUGGGACAGUGUGAACUAAAGUCUGAGCCAGACUUGAACAGGAGAUCAUAUGAGAAGAUAAUAUUAGCAUUGCCGCAGUGCGCUGACUGGAUAAUAAGGCAGUUCACCUUUGUGGAAGAUAAACCAAUUAAGACAUGUAAACGUUCGAAUGGGAAAGAAAAAAAUUGUUAAAGUUCCGAGGCCGAUUACUGUUUCCAAAUAUUAUAUAAUUAACACAUGAGAGGGGUUGCACUUGCCGACUUCCUUAUGGAGCUGUAUGAAGUGAAACAUCGCACCAAUAAGUGGUACAUGAAAAUAUUUCACUGGAGCUUAGGCACAGUAGUUACCCACUCCUGGCUAUCGGAGACAUCUCAAACUCGAUAAUCUAUACGCCAAGCACUUAUAAAAUUUCAGAUGGAUUUCGCAAUUGAGCUCUUAAGCGCUACGCCGAUGUUUUUUUUUAGUUCUACUCUAAAGAAGAGGGGACGCUAUGUGCUAUGAAAAAUGUAGAAACCGACCUAACUCCGUCUAGUUUGAAACACCGUCACGCUGUUAAAAGUCCCCCCAACUCCAAGCGAUAUAAUGAAAAUAGCCAUUAGAUAGUUUGGGGAGAAAAAGAACGAUUCCGUCUUUGAAAACCGGAACACCUCCCUUAAAAAUGCGUAAAAUGUUGUGUGCAUCAUUGCUGAAAUACGCAUAAAAACUAGUUAUCACAACGAAAAUACAAAACUUUUAAAACAAAAAUAUUUGUGAUAAAUAAAGAGAAACUUCUUGUAUAUACAAAUACUGCCCUUAACGCCCAAUAUCGCUUACAAGCAACUUUCUAUAUCUCGUGACCGGAUAAAACUAGGGAGUUAAAAUUUCGAAGUUAAUUAAGGCAUUAAUAAAUGCGAUUUUAAUUCAUAAUGUUUUUUUUUAUGAUUCCAAAACAAAAUUUUCAAGGAUUUUAACCACUGAAAAUGUGUUUAUUGAGUGAUAACUGAAUCGUACAAAAUCAUCAAAAUAUAAACAGAAAAUUCAUGAGAAAAACAGAAAAAGGUUUUUUUUGACAUGUAUUAAAAAUUUUUUUUGUAAGAGAAAGCACGCUCCGAAGUAAUCCAAUCUUAUAUAUGUAAUUUAAUCACGAUCCAAAUCGGUUACGUAUCGCGAACAUAGAAAAAAGUAGAAACGAUGAAAUAAUUAUUGAAAGUGAAAAUUAUAAUAAAAAAAUUAAUUGAAAAAGGCGAUUGAACAGAACAUGUACUAAAGUUAUGAAGUCAAAAUUCCGUUUGUACAAUAUUAAAUUUAAAUAUGAAGAUAGCCUCACAAUCGAGAAAUUAAAAAAAAAAA
This is a long non-coding RNA of Bactrocera oleae (olive fruit fly), 2129 nucleotides long. RefSeq lists it as uncharacterized. The record is from RefSeq and is a predicted model, not a curated record. Lineage: Eukaryota; Metazoa; Arthropoda; Insecta; Diptera; Tephritidae.